Leopardus geoffroyi (Geoffroy's cat) is the source of this 1187-nucleotide long non-coding RNA. RefSeq lists it as uncharacterized. The record is from RefSeq and is a predicted model, not a curated record. The transcript has 2 exons. Lineage: Eukaryota; Metazoa; Chordata; Mammalia; Carnivora; Felidae.
UGCUACACAAUCUGAUGAUGACAAAAUGAUAUUGGAUAGCUACUGCAAGGUCAAGAAAACUGCUAAGAACAUCUUUAAUUGGUCUUUUAUUUUUAAUCAUAUGGUCCUAGUUACAAUGCAUCCAUUUUAAUUGUAUAUUUUUAUUUGAAAUAAAUCUAUGUAGUUACCUUUGGUUGCCUGGGACAUUCGAUGGAUAAUCUCUGCAACUGGUCUGAGGUAUGGCUACAAGAGAACAGAUCGGAGCAGCAGGUCGAACGGCUCAACCUCUUCAUUAAAGAAGAAAUAAUGCUGCAGCCACAGCCACACAUUGACUUGUUCGUUAGAUGAGAAUUUAACUUAAAAAAUCAGAACUGGUAAUGUCCCAUAUAUACUCAAAAUUGGCUAACUGCCUCAUUCUGCAGCUCUCUGGCUGAAAGAAACACUGUUAAAAAAGAAUAAAACAUCAGCUUCCUAUCAGAAGGAAGAUACCAGACACAAACUCAUCGCCAAGAAAAAGUCGACAUUAAAAACAGAAGUCUCCCGGCUACUCUUUAGAAAUAAGUUUAGAUCUGUUUGCCUACUCCUUCAGCUCAGCCUAUCCAACCUGUUCCCUCUGUAAAUGCACACUAUUUCAACAACCAACUGGAAUGAGCCCCACCCCUCCCUGUCCUCAUACACACUGUUCAAGAACUGCUCAAUAUCUGGAAAAGAACUGCUGCUGCAUUGCUUUGAGAAACAACAGGGAGCAAAUUACUGGACGGAUUCUUUAACUUACCAAUCAGAACUGCUGACCUUUUAUGACUCUACGAUUCAAGAAGUCUGCCAAACAGUCACAGUAAGAAUAAUCUACUGGUUUUACUUCUAUGUUAUAGAUUUACAGAAUUGUUUUCUAUCUUAUUAUUCGAUCUAAAAUACAAAAACAUAGGCAUGUGUAUUUUUUUUAAAACAAAACUUAGUAGGUGAUAAAAAUCUUUUGAGUAUUGCUGGGAGAGGGCAGGACGGUGGUUGAUAUGCAAAGUAAAAAAAUUCCCUGUGAAUACCGUAGUUAAACUUGAGAACUAUGGAGUGAUAAAAUUCUAUAGCAAAAAUAGGGGUGUAAGUAAUGAUGGAAUAAAUAAGCAAGAUAAUCCAAGAAGACCCCUGCUAUCAUAAACGUUAGAAGAGUUUUAAUGAAAAGGGCAUGUGGAUACAUAUAGGUAUGGACAACA